UAUGCAUGGUACAACCAUGGCAACAAGAGGGCAACUCCAAAUGGAUCCAUUCUGGGCUACUCUGAAAUGAGAAGCCAGGGAAGGGGAUGGGGCUGCACCAGCACAGAGACUCCACUCCACUCUGGACCCAGCAAACCAAGGAGGCAGCUGCAUCUACACUCCGCUCAUGGUUCCGGCUCUGCUGGUUCUCAAGCAGCACGCGAGUGUCCUCCAGGUCCCAGUGGCCAGGACUGUAACAGCAGCAGAUGCAGGAAGCCAUGAACCAGCUGGUCAUCCCCCACCCCCAGGAUCACCUGACGUUGUGAUCACCCACGGCGCAGCUCCUUCCUGGACGUCAGCUCUGACUCCAGCCUCUCCUCACACUGCUGCAGACGCUUGCGGAGGAACUCAUUUUCCAUCUGAGCACAGUCC
Molecule: long non-coding RNA, 411 nt
Organism: Chinchilla lanigera (long-tailed chinchilla)
Lineage: Eukaryota; Metazoa; Chordata; Mammalia; Rodentia; Chinchillidae
Exons: 4
Source: RefSeq, a predicted model, not a curated record